RNAcentral lists this transfer RNA (65 nucleotides) under Palaemon annandalei. RNAcentral describes it as "tRNA-Tyr". The record is from RNAcentral. Lineage: Eukaryota; Metazoa; Arthropoda; Malacostraca; Decapoda; Palaemonidae.
GAGUAGGUGGCUGAUAAAAGGUAAUAAAUUGUAAAUUUAUGUAUGAGAGUUAUUCUCCCUGCUUA